AUUGAACGCUGGCGGCAUGCUUUACACAUGCAAGUCGAACGGCAGCGGGGUAGUGCUUGCACUACUGCCGGCGAGUGGCGAACGGGUGAGUAAUAUAUCGGAACGUACCGAGUAAUGGGGGAUAACCAAUCGAAAGAUUGGCUAAUACCGCAUACGUCCUGAGGGAGAAAGCGGGGGAUCGCAAGACCUCGCGUUAUUCGAGCGGCCGAUAACUGAUUAGCUAGUUGGUGGGGUAAAGGCCUACCAAGGCGACGAUCAGUAGCGGGUCUGAGAGGACGAUCCGCCACACUGGGACUGAGACACGGCCCAGACUCCUACGGGAGGCAGCAGUGGGGAAUUUUGGACAAUGGGGGCAACCCUGAUCCAGCCAUGCCGCGUGUAUGAAGAAGGCCUUCGGGUUGUAAAGUACUUUUGUUAGGGAAGAAAAGGGAAGUACUAAUACCACUUUUUGCUGACGGUACCUAAAGAAUAAGCACCGGCUAACUACGUG
Molecule: ribosomal RNA, 490 nt
Filed under: uncultured bacterium
Lineage: Bacteria
Description: partial 16S ribosomal RNA
Rfam family: Bacterial small subunit ribosomal RNA
Source: RNAcentral